Molecule: ribosomal RNA, 307 nt
Filed under: uncultured eukaryote
Lineage: Eukaryota
Description: partial 18S ribosomal RNA
Rfam family: Eukaryotic small subunit ribosomal RNA
Source: RNAcentral
CCCUUAGACGUUCUGGGCCGCACGCGCGCUACACUGACGAAGGCAACGAGCUUUCCUUUACCGAAAGGUACGGGUAAUCUUUUGAAACUUCGUCGUGCUGGGGAUAGAUCCUUGCAAUUUUUGAUCUUAAACGAGGAAUGCCUAGUAAGCGCAAGUCAUCAACUUGCGUUGAUUACGUCCCUGCCCUUUGUACACGCCGCCCGUCGCUACUACCGAUUGAAUGGUUUAGUGAGGCCUUCGGAUCCGCGACUCGUUUGUGGAGAAGUUGGACAAACUCAGUCAUUUAGAGGAAGUAAAAGUCGUAACA